This 460-nucleotide ribosomal RNA is filed under the name uncultured bacterium. RNAcentral describes it as "partial 16S ribosomal RNA". It matches the Rfam family "Bacterial small subunit ribosomal RNA", at positions 338 to 795 of the family's 1533-position model. The record is from RNAcentral.
UCUACGGGUGGCAGCAGUGAGGAAUAUUGGUCAAUGGGAGGAAUCCUGAACCAGCCAUGCCGCGUGCAGGACGACGGCUCUACGAGUUGUAAACUGCUUUUGUACCGGGGUAAAAUGCUCUACGAGUAGGGUUUUGAAAGUACGGUACGAAUAAGGAUCGGCUAACUCCGUGCCAGCAGCCGCGGUAAUACGGAGGAUCCGAGCGUUAUCCGGAUUUAUUGGGGUUAAAGGGUGCGUAGGCGGUUUGAUAAGUUAGAGGUGAAAUGUCGGGGCUCAACCCCGAAACUGCCUCUAAUACUGUUGGACUAGAGAAUAGUUGCGGUAGGCGGAAUGUAUGGUGUAGCGGUGAAAUGCUUAGAGAUCAUACAGAACACCGAUUGCGAAGGCAGCUUACCAAACUAUAUCUGACGUUGAGGCACGAAAGCGUGGGUAGCAAACAGGAUUAGAUACCCCAGUAGUC